GUGCUCACUUUGGCAACACAUAUACUAAAACUGGAACAAUACAGAGAUUAGUAUGGCCCCUGCACAAGGAUGACACUCAAAUUCUUGAAGUGUUCCAUAUUUCC
Small nuclear RNA from Lontra canadensis (Northern American river otter), 104 nucleotides. The record is from RefSeq and is a predicted model, not a curated record. Lineage: Eukaryota; Metazoa; Chordata; Mammalia; Carnivora; Mustelidae.